This 25-nucleotide non-coding RNA is filed under the name Mus musculus (house mouse). Lineage: Eukaryota; Metazoa; Chordata; Mammalia; Rodentia; Muridae. The record is from RNAcentral.
UGAAGGCUCAGGUACUCUUGGACUU